GUAGGUGUAAUCUGCAGAAACACGGCCCAUCAUCACCAUCCCAGACACUUCCCUGCACCUGUUCUGCGCCAGCGUGAGAGGGCCCAGGGUGCUGUGGCAGCGUGGAGGAGGGGCGCCUCUCCCACCUGGGAGGAGCCCAAGAGGAGCUCUGAAAGAUCUGAUAACUUGAGGGACUCCUAGAGUACACCUGAGGACCACUGUUUGAGAAAUGCUAUCCGAGGGAAUGAAGUCAGUCUAUGAAAACAUCUCUCAAUUGCGAAUGAUCCCUACAGAUGAGAAAUUGUGAUUUGGCCGCUGGGAAUACCGGUUCAAGCCCUGGUCCGGGAAGAUUCCACAUGCCGCGGAGCAACUAAUCCUGUGCGCCACAACUACUGAGCCUGCGCUCUAGAGCCCACGAGCCACAACUACUGAAGCCCGCGCGCCUAGAGCCCGUGCUCUGCAACAAGAGAAGCCACCACAGUGAGCAGCCCGUGCACCACAACGAAGAGUAGCCCCCGCUCACCGCAACUAGAGAAAGCUCACGCGCAGCAACGAAGACCCAAUGCAGCCAAAAAAAAAAAA
Long non-coding RNA from Physeter macrocephalus (sperm whale), 561 nucleotides. RefSeq lists it as uncharacterized. The transcript is spliced from 3 exons. NCBI's taxonomy places the organism in Eukaryota, Metazoa, Chordata, Mammalia, Artiodactyla, Physeteridae. The record is from RefSeq and is a predicted model, not a curated record.